UACGAAGGGGGCUAGCGUUGCUCGGAAUCACUGGGCGUAAAGGGUGCGUAGGCGGGUCUUAAGUCAGGGGUGAAAUCCUGGAGCUCAACUCCAGAACUGCCUUUGAUACUGAGGAUCUUGAGUUCGGGAGAGGUGAGUGGAAUUCCGAGUGUAGAGGUGAAAUUCGUAGAUAUUCGGAAGAACACCAGUGGCGAAGGCGGCUCACUGGAGCUGGUAUUGACGCUGAGGUGGCGAAAGCGUGGGGAGCAACAGG
Molecule: ribosomal RNA, 253 nt
Filed under: uncultured bacterium
Lineage: Bacteria
Description: partial 16S ribosomal RNA
Rfam family: Bacterial small subunit ribosomal RNA
Source: RNAcentral